Molecule: small nucleolar RNA, 136 nt
Organism: Marmota marmota marmota (Alpine marmot)
Lineage: Eukaryota; Metazoa; Chordata; Mammalia; Rodentia; Sciuridae
Source: Ensembl
ACUCUCCCCACUCUGCAUGGUCACACUAAGUUUUGCCCAUGUGACUUUCGUACAGGGGAGAGAGAGAGGAAAGAGCCCCUCUGGACCUUGGAUUGGCCUCACAGUAGCCUUUUCUUCCUUGAGGGGCACAACAGGA